This 253-nucleotide ribosomal RNA is filed under the name uncultured bacterium. RNAcentral describes it as "partial 16S ribosomal RNA". It matches the Rfam family "Bacterial small subunit ribosomal RNA", at positions 524 to 776 of the family's 1533-position model. The record is from RNAcentral.
UACGUAGGGACCUAGCGUUGUCCGGAAUCAUUGGGCGUAAAGCGCGCGUAGGCGGCCCGGUAAGUCCGUUGCAAAAGUCAAAGGCUCAACCUUUGAAAGCCGAUGGAUACUGCCGGGCUAGAGUCCGGAAGAGGCGAGUAGAAUUCCUGGUGUAGCGGUGGAAUGCGCAGAUAUCAGGAGGAACACCUAUGGCGAAGGCAGCUCGCUGGGACGAUACUGACGCUGAGACGCGAAAGCGUGGGGAGCAAACAGG